Molecule: unclassified non-coding RNA, 221 nt
Filed under: uncultured fungus
Lineage: Eukaryota; Fungi
Description: sequence contains ITS1, 5.8S rRNA gene
Source: RNAcentral
GUUUCAAAUUGUUAUCUUUGCCAACAAAAUACAUUCAAAGCGUGUUUGUGGUAAGAGAGAAGACAUAGGCUGAUUUCUCGAGCCUACAAAUGGUGCACAGGGUGUCGAGUGAGCGUUCACAGAAAAACCCCGGAGAGUGCACAUGCCCCUUUGUUACGGGCCAGCAAGCAUCCCCGGUGCGUUCAUCGGUAAUGAUCCUUCCGCAGGUUCACCUACGGAAA